This 62-nucleotide transfer RNA is filed under the name Xiphinema pachtaicum. RNAcentral describes it as "tRNA-Leu". The record is from RNAcentral. Lineage: Eukaryota; Metazoa; Nematoda; Enoplea; Dorylaimida; Longidoridae.
UUUGCUUUGGAGGAUUAUCUCAGAUAGAUUUAGGUUCUAUGUAUACUAGCUUGGAGGUUAAG